GUGUGUGUGUGUGUGUGUGUGUGUGUGCGCGCACGCGCACACCACACACACAAUCUU
RNAcentral lists this microRNA precursor (57 nucleotides) under Podarcis lilfordi (Lilford's wall lizard). Lineage: Eukaryota; Metazoa; Chordata; Lepidosauria; Squamata; Lacertidae. The record is from RNAcentral.